AUUUAACUCAUCAGCUCAUUAGCCGAGAAUCCAAGACCUAAAGCCUCCAGAAACAGAGUUGGGAAACAUUGACUUAAGCCUUUCGUCUCUGCCGCACACAGCAGAUGCUGCACUCGUUCGAGUCCUGGGGCUCCAGCUGCCCGAUCCCUCCUCCCGCCCGUUUAUUCCCUCCUCUCUCCAUUACCACAUCCCUCGGCCGUCCUGUCAGCUGCCAGAUGAAGUGAGUGCUGCGGUCGCAUGUGUGGGCAGGGCUGCGGCCGCAUAUUGAGCACAAAUUGGGCGAGAUGCCACAGUGAAGGAGUGGGACAGGAAUCCACACAAAGCAUCCACUCAUCUAUUAUACAGAAGAGGAACGAGUAAAUGCAAUACUCUCCAGGCCGAGUGGAGAGAGAGCGAGAGGAUAGAGUAGAACAUUUGUUGUGCAUGUUUAUGAAGAAGGUUGUAGUCCUUUGGAGCCGUCUGUGGACCAUUGCCAGCGUGUGAGAGCGGUAAUGAGAGCAUGGACCUCGUGGAGCCGUUGGACUGAAGUAUUUCAAAAGCAGCUUCCAUUCACUCGUUCAGAUAAACACUCGGUCCUUCCCGUGUUAUCGACAACACGGACGCCAUCCUGAGCCACUGGCCUCUGUCAGCAUAAUGCUUUUGGAGAGGAACUUGUUAAUGCCGAGCAGCGCUUCAAUUUUCUCUAGCGUUCAUCCACCUGCUCCAGUAAUGAGAAGUGUAGCAAUGUGAUCUGCAACUUGAAACUGUUGCUUGUUGUGUCCAACAAGUCCAAAUGUGACAAUUGGACCAUUGUCUGGGGAAUAAGUGUUAUGGAGUGGUUUGAAAACGGCUUUUGUUAGGAUCUGUUGAGGAAAUUAAACUGUUGAAUGAAGUAGGGGUAUUUCUGAUCUACAUAAAGCACACAGACACACUAAGUGCUGAAUAUUUAGUUUUGCACGUAUCACUGAUGCCAAACGCACAUGCGAGACAGAAGUUCAUAUCAUGGUAUCUGUGACUAGUUGGAUGCUGAUGGACAUCAACUUUUGGAUGAAAUCUGGGACUUUUGGGAUCUGGGA
Molecule: long non-coding RNA, 1055 nt
Organism: Sinocyclocheilus anshuiensis
Lineage: Eukaryota; Metazoa; Chordata; Actinopteri; Cypriniformes; Cyprinidae
Exons: 3
Source: RefSeq, a predicted model, not a curated record